AUCCCCUUCCGCACUGUGGAAGCUUUGUUCUUUCGCUCUUUGCAAUAAAUCUUGCUACUGCUCACCCUUUGGGUCCACACUGCCUUUAUGAGCUGUAACACUCACUGCGAAGGUCUGCAGCUUCACUCCUGAAGCCAGCCAGACCACGAGCCCACCGGGAGGAACGAACAAUUCCAGACUUGCCGCCUUAAGAGCUGUAACGCUCACCGCGAAGGUCUGCAGCUUCACUCCUGAAGCCAGCCAGACCACGAGCCCACCGGGAGGAACGAACAACUCCAGACGCGCCGCCUUAAGAGCUGUAACACUCACCGGGAAGGUCUGCAGCUUCACUCCUGAGCCAGCGAGACCACGAACCCACCAGAAGGAAGAAACUCUGAACACAUCUGAACGUCAGAAGGAGCAAACUCCAGACGUGCCACCUUAAGAGCUGUAACACUCACUGCGAGGGUCCGCAGCUUCAUUCUUGAAGUCAGUGAGACCAAGUUCCGGACACAUUCUCAGGGCCAAAAUGGCUGACUAGAAGCAGCUACAGUGUGUAGCUCUCAGGGAGAGGAAGGAAAGGGAAGAGUAAAUACAGCACCUUCAACUGAAAUAUCCAGGUAUUCACAUUGGGACUGACCAGGGAAACAGCUGGACCCACAGAGAACGAAGAAAAGCAGGGCAGGGUGAUGGCCUGCACGAGAGUGACACGGAGCCAAGGGAACCUCCCCCUCCCAGGGAAGUGCCUUCACUGGUGAUACGCCAGGUACUGGAAAAUCUGUGGUGACUAGGGACUGGAGCAGACGCCCAGCAAACUUCAGCAACCUUAUGGAAAAGUGGCCCAACUGUUAAAGAAAAACCAAAACCAC
Molecule: long non-coding RNA, 848 nt
Filed under: Homo sapiens (human)
Lineage: Eukaryota; Metazoa; Chordata; Mammalia; Primates; Hominidae
Description: HSALNT0009313
Source: RNAcentral